GUCUUGUUUGAAGAAUUUGAUUCAAUCUCUUGAGAUUGAAAUGAAAAAGGCUGAGGAGGAGGCUGAGAAAAAGAAGGUUAAGACUAAUGAAAAAUCAGAAGAAAAAGUGAAGGAAGAUGGUUUCACUCAUUAGUUUAGAUUUGAUUGAAUUCAAUAAAUCAAAAUAAUGUUUUUAAACUUUUUAUUAAAAGCAUAGUUAUGUAGUAUAUGUUUGAAUGUUAGAAUAUGAUUGUAUUAGUUGCUUUAUAAAAUCAUCAAAACAUUGUCUUAGAUUAUUGAAAAAGUUAGAAAUAGAAUAUACUUUUAAGAGUUUGUAUGAAAUGAAUUUUUA
RNAcentral lists this long non-coding RNA (331 nucleotides) under Lathyrus oleraceus (garden pea). Its description in RNAcentral is "Pisum sativum (pea) long non-coding RNA (PSAT_LNC001331)". Lineage: Eukaryota; Viridiplantae; Streptophyta; Magnoliopsida; Fabales; Fabaceae. The record is from RNAcentral.